UUAAGUUAUUAAGGGCGCACGGUGGAUGCCUUGGCACUAGAAGCCGAUGAAGGACGUUACUAACGACGAUAUGCUUUGGGGAGCUGUAAGUAAGCUUUGAUCCAGAGAUUUCCGAAUGGGGAAACCCAACAUGAGUUAUGUCAUGUUAUCGAUAUGUGAAUACAUAGCAUAUCAGAAGGCACACCCGGAGAACUGAAACAUCUUAGUACCCGGAGGAAGAGAAAGAAAAUUCGAUUCCCUUAGUAGCGGCGAGCGAAACGGGAAGAGCCCAAACCAACAAGCUUGCUUGUUGGGGUUGUAGGACACUCUAUACGGAGUUACAAAGGACGACAUUAGACGAAUCAUCUGGAAAGAUGAAUCAAAGAAGGUAAUAAUCCUGUAGUCGAAAAUGUUGUCUCUCUUGAGUGGAUCCUGAGUACGACGGAGCACGUGAAAUUCCGUCGGAAUCUGGGAGGACCAUCUCCUAAGGCUAAAUACUCUCUAGUGACCGAUAGUGAACCAGUACCGUGAGGGAAAGGUGAAAAGCACCCCGGAAGGGGAGUGAAAUAGAACCUGAAACCGUGUGCUUACAAGUAGUCAGAGCCCGUUAAUGGGUGAUGGCGUGCCUUUUGUAGAAUGAACCGGCGAGUUACGAUUUGAUGCAAGGUUAAGCAGUAAAUGUGGAGCCGUAGCGAAAGCGAGUCUGAAUAGGGCGUUUAGUAUUUGGUCGUAGACCCGAAACCAGGUGAUCUACCCUUGGUCAGGUUGAAGUUCAGGUAACACUGAAUGGAGGACCGAACCGACUUACGUUGAAAAGUGAGCGGAUGAACUGAGGGUAGCGGAGAAAUUCCAAUCGAACCUGGAGAUAGCUGGUUCUCUCCGAAAUAGCUUUAGGGCUAGCCUCAAGUGAUGAUUAUUGGAGGUAGAGCACUGUUUGGACGAGGGGCCCCUCUCGGGUUACCGAAUUCAGACAAACUCCGAAUGCCAAUUAAUUUAACUUGGGAGUCAGAACAUGGGUGAUAAGGUCCGUGUUCGAAAGGGAAACAGCCCAGACCACCAGCUAAGGUCCCAAAAUAUAUGUUAAGUGGAAAAGGAUGUGGCGUUGCCCAGACAACUAGGAUGUUGGCUUAGAAGCAGCCAUCAUUUAAAGAGUGCGUAAUAGCUCACUAGUCGAGUGACACUGCGCCGAAAAUGUACCGGGGCUAAACAUAUUACCGAAGCUGUGGAUUGUCCUUUGGACAAUGGUAGGAGAGCGUUCUAAGGGCGUUGAAGCAUGAUCGUAAGGACAUGUGGAGCGCUUAGAAGUGAGAAUGCCGGUGUGAGUAGCGAAAGACGGGUGAGAAUCCCGUCCACCGAUUGACUAAGGUUUCCAGAGGAAGGCUCGUCCGCUCUGGGUUAGUCGGGUCCUAAGCUGAGGCCGACAGGCGUAGGCGAUGGAUAACAGGUUGAUAUUCCUGUACCACCUAUAAUCGUUUUAAUCGAUGGGGGGACGCAGUAGGAUAGGCGAAGCGUGCGAUUGGAUUGCACGUCUAAGCAGUAAGGCUGAGUAUUAGGCAAAUCCGGUACUCAUUAAGGCUGAGCUGUGAUGGGGAGAAGACAUUGUGUCUUCGAGUCGUUGAUUUCACACUGCCGAGAAAAGCCUCUAGAUAGAAAAUAGGUGCCCGUACCGCAAACCGACACAGGUAGUCAAGAUGAGAAUUCUAAGGUGAGCGAGCGAACUCUCGUUAAGGAACUCGGCAAAAUGACCCCGUAACUUCGGGAGAAGGGGUGCUCUUUAGGGUUAACGCCCAGAAGAGCCGCAGUGAAUAGGCCCAAGCGACUGUUUAUCAAAAACACAGGUCUCUGCUAAACCGUAAGGUGAUGUAUAGGGGCUGACGCCUGCCCGGUGCUGGAAGGUUAAGAGGAGUGGUUAGCUUCUGCGAAGCUACGAAUCGAAGCCCCAGUAAACGGCGGCCGUAACUAUAACGGUCCUAAGGUAGCGAAAUUCCUUGUCGGGUAAGUUCCGACCCGCACGAAAGGCGUAACGAUUUGGGCACUGUCUCAACGAGAGACUCGGUGAAAUCAUAGUACCUGUGAAGAUGCAGGUUACCCGCGACAGGACGGAAAGACCCCGUGGAGCUUUACUGUAGCCUGAUAUUGAAAUUCGGCACAGCUUGUACAGGAUAGGUAGGAGCCUUUGAAACGUGAGCGCUAGCUUACGUGGAGGCGCUGGUGGGAUACUACCCUAGCUGUGUUGGCUUUCUAACCCGCACCACUUAUCGUGGUGGGAGACAGUGUCAGGCGGGCAGUUUGACUGGGGCGGUCGCCUCCUAAAAGGUAACGGAGGCGCUCAAAGGUUCCCUCAGAAUGGUUGGAAAUCAUUCAUAGAGUGUAAAGGCAUAAGGGAGCUUGACUGCGAGACCUACAAGUCGAGCAGGGUCGAAAGACGGACUUAGUGAUCCGGUGGUUCCGCAUGGAAGGGCCAUCGCUCAACGGAUAAAAGCUACCCCGGGGAUAACAGGCUUAUCUCCCCCAAGAGUUCACAUCGACGGGGAGGUUUGGCACCUCGAUGUCGGCUCAUCGCAUCCUGGGGCUGUAGUCGGUCCCAAGGGUUGGGCUGUUCGCCCAUUAAAGCGGUACGCGAGCUGGGUUCAGAACGUCGUGAGACAGUUCGGUCCCUAUCCGUCGUGGGCGUAGGAAAUUUGAGAGGAGCUGUCCUUAGUACGAGAGGACCGGGAUGGACAUACCUCUGGUGUACCAGUUGUCGUGCCAACGGCAUAGCUGGGUAGCUAUGUGUGGACGGGAUAAGUGCUGAAAGCAUCUAAGCAUGAAGCCCCCCUCAAGAUGAGAUUUCCCAACUUCGGUUAUAAGAUCCCUCAAAGAUGAUGAGGUUAAUAGGUUCGAGGUGGAAGCAUGGUGACAUGUGGAGCUGACGAAUACUAAUCGAUCGAAGACUUAAUC
Molecule: ribosomal RNA, 2919 nt
Filed under: Staphylococcus aureus
Lineage: Bacteria; Bacillati; Bacillota; Bacilli; Caryophanales; Staphylococcaceae
Also listed under: 1 other name
Description: 23S ribosomal RNA
Rfam family: Bacterial large subunit ribosomal RNA
Source: RNAcentral